GCAGGACGCCUCUUCCCUCUGAGGUGCGGCCACCGGCUCGGACGCCUCCAUCGCCUCCAAGAGACGCCGCCGCCGCUGGAUACGGGCGAGGGAGAAGAGCUUCCAGACGGCCGGAGUGACUUGGUCAAGGUCACAGACAGGUCACUGUCAGACUAAGUUCUGGACACCUACGGACUCAUCUAUUUUUUUCUGUUGGUUCCCCUUUCCCCUUUCUUAGAAAACAACAAGAACCAUUAGUACUCAACAUUAAGAGAGAGAUCACAAGUAGGCAGAGAGGCAGGCAGAUAGAGAG
Molecule: long non-coding RNA, 292 nt
Organism: Mustela erminea (ermine)
Lineage: Eukaryota; Metazoa; Chordata; Mammalia; Carnivora; Mustelidae
Exons: 3
Source: RefSeq, a predicted model, not a curated record